Molecule: non-coding RNA, 284 nt
Organism: Pelobates cultripes (western spadefoot toad)
Lineage: Eukaryota; Metazoa; Chordata; Amphibia; Anura; Pelobatidae
Source: the annotation of a GenBank genome assembly
GUGAAAGACAAGCUUUUGAAGCGCUGUCCUUAAGAGGUUAAGGAUUCAAGCUAACUAUUCCUUUCCUCAAACCAUAUCUACACCUGCUGUUGCUACUGGAGGUAAUUAUACUCUAAUCUUUGUGAAACUUCCAGGAUAAAAGGGAUAAAGCUGCAAGAUCUCUGACAUUUAUCUCCUGCCACCUUGAUGUUGCGUUUGAAAAAAAAAUAAUUAUUUUCAUCUAUGGCCCUAUGUCCAGAGCUGGAUUAACAUAGGGGCUGAUGGAGCUGCAGCUCCAGGCCCAG